GACGAACGCUGGCGGCGUGCUUAACACAUGCAAGUCGAACGGAAAGGCCCGGCUUUUGUGGGGUGCUCGAGUGGCGAACGGGGGAGUAACACGUGAGUAACCUGCCCUUGACUUUCGGAUAACUUCAGGAAACUGGGGCUAAUACCGGAUAGGAUCUCCUGCAGCGUGGGGGGGGUUGGAAAGUGUCGGCGGUUGGGGAUGGACUCGCGGCUUAUCAGCUUGUUGGUGGGGUAGUUGCUGACCAAGGUUUUGACGGGUAGCCGGCCUGAGAGGGUGACCGGCCACAUUGGGACUGAGAGACGGCCCAGACUGCUACGGGAGGCAGCAGUGGGGAAUAUGGCACAAUGGGCGGACGCCUGAUGCAGCAACGCCGCGUGCGGGAUGACGGCCUUCGGGUUGUAAACCGCUUUCGCCUGUGACGAAGCGUGAGUGACGGUAAUGGGUAAAGAAGCACCGGCUAACUACGUG
This 468-nucleotide ribosomal RNA is filed under the name uncultured bacterium. RNAcentral describes it as "partial 16S ribosomal RNA". It matches the Rfam family "Bacterial small subunit ribosomal RNA", at positions 28 to 507 of the family's 1533-position model. The record is from RNAcentral.